This 301-nucleotide ribosomal RNA is filed under the name uncultured bacterium. Its description in RNAcentral is "partial 16S ribosomal RNA". It matches the Rfam family "Bacterial small subunit ribosomal RNA", at positions 509 to 807 of the family's 1533-position model. The record is from RNAcentral.
CAGUCGCCGCGGUAAAACGGAGGAUCCAAGCGUUAUCCGGAAUCAUUGGGUUUAAAGGGUCCGUAGGCGGUCUUGUAAGUCAGUGGUGAAAGCCCAUCGCUCAACGGUGGAACGGCCAUUGAUACUGCAGGACUUGAAUUAUUGGGAAGUAACUAGAAUAUGUAGUGUAGCGGUGAAAUGCUUAGAGAUUACAUGGAAUACCAAUUGCGAAGGCAGGUUACUACCAAUUGAUUGACGCUGAUGGACGAAAGCGUGGGUAGCGAACAGGAUUAGAUACCCCAGUAGUCCCUGUCUCUUAUAC